UAGGGAAUCUUCGGCAAUGGGGGCAACCCUGACCGAGCAACGCCGCGUGAGUGAAGAAGGUUUUCGGAUCGUAAAGCUCUGUUGUAAGUCAAGAACGGGUGUGAGAGUGGAAAGUUCACACUGUGACGGUAGCUUACCAGAAAGGGACGGCUAACUACGUGCCAGCAGCCGCGGUAAUACGUAGGUCCCGAUCGUUGUCCGGAUUUAUUGGGCGUAAAGCGAGCGCAGGCGGUUUGAUAAGUCUGAAGUUAAAGGCUGUGGCUCAACCAUAGUUCGCUUUGGAAACUGUCAAACUUGAGUGCAGAAGGGGAGGGUGGAAUUCCAUGUGUAGCGGUGAAAUGCGUAGAUAUAUGGAGGAACACCGGUGGCGAAAGCGGCUCUCUGGUCUGUAACUGACGCUGAGGCUCGAAAGCGUGGGGAGAGAACAGG
Molecule: ribosomal RNA, 429 nt
Filed under: Bacillota bacterium
Lineage: Bacteria; Bacillati; Bacillota
Description: Firmicutes bacterium partial 16S ribosomal RNA
Rfam family: Bacterial small subunit ribosomal RNA
Source: RNAcentral